UACGGAGGAUCCGAGCGUUAUCCGGAUUUAUUGGGUUUAAAGGGAGCGUAGGUGGAUUGUUAAGUCAGUUGUGAAAGUUUGCGGCUCAAUCGUAAAAUUGCAGUUGAAACUGGCAGUCUUGAGUACAGUAGAGGUGGGCGGAAUUCGUGGUGUAGCGGUGAAAUGCUUAGAUAUCACGAAGAACUCCGAUUGCGAAGGCAGCUCACUAGACUGCAACUGACACUGAUGCUCGAAAGUGUGGGUAUCAAACAGG
Molecule: ribosomal RNA, 253 nt
Filed under: uncultured bacterium
Lineage: Bacteria
Description: partial 16S ribosomal RNA
Rfam family: Bacterial small subunit ribosomal RNA
Source: RNAcentral